Molecule: ribosomal RNA, 497 nt
Filed under: uncultured bacterium
Lineage: Bacteria
Description: partial 16S ribosomal RNA
Rfam family: Bacterial small subunit ribosomal RNA
Source: RNAcentral
GAUGAACGCUGGCGGCGUGCCUAAUACAUGCAAGUCGAGCGAACGGACGAGAAGCUUGCUUCUCUGAUGUUAGCGGCGGACGGGUGAGUAACACGUGGAUAACCUACCUAUAAGACUGGUAUAACUUCGGGAAACCGGAGCUAAUACCGGAUGAUAUUUUGAACCGCAUGGUUCAAAAGUGAAAUACGAUCUUGCUGUCACUUAUAGAUGGAUCCGCGCUGCAUUAGCUAGUUGGUAAGGUAACGGCUUACCAAGGCAACGAUGCAUAGCCGACCUGAGAGGGUGAUCGGCCACACUGGAACUGGGCCACGGUCCAGACUCCUACGGGAGGCAGCAGUAGGGAAUCUUCCGCAAUGGGCGAAAGCCUGACGGAGCAACGCCGCGUGAGUGAUGAAGGUCUUCGGAUCGUAAAACUCUGUUAUUAGGGAAGAACAUAUGUGUAAGUAACUGUGCACAUCUUGACGGUACCUAAUCAGAAAGCCACGGCUAACUACGUG